Molecule: small nuclear RNA, 161 nt
Organism: Otolemur garnettii (small-eared galago)
Lineage: Eukaryota; Metazoa; Chordata; Mammalia; Primates; Galagidae
Gene: U1
Rfam family: U1 spliceosomal RNA
About the family: U1 is a small nuclear RNA (snRNA) component of the spliceosome (involved in pre-mRNA splicing). Its 5' end forms complementary base pairs with the 5' splice junction, thus defining the 5' donor site of an intron.
Source: Ensembl
AGGAUUGUGGCAGGGGAGAUACCAUGAUCACAAAGGUGAUUUUCCAGGGUGAGGCUUAUCCAUUGUACUCCAUGUGCUAACCCCUGCAAGUUCCCCAAAAUGUGGAAAAUUCCAUUGUAUAAUUUGUGGUGGUGGGGGGACUACAUUGACACUUUCUCCUG